AGAGUUUGAUCCUGGCUCAGGACGAACGCUGGCGGCGUGCCUAACACAUGCAAGUCGAACGGAAAUUAGCUCUAAGCUUGCUUAGAGCGAGUUUUAGUGGCGGACGGGUGAGUAACGCGUGGGUAACCUACCCAUAAAGCCGGGACAACCCUUGGAAACGAGGGCUAAUACCGGAUAAUCUUAGAUACUGGCAUCAGUAUCUAAGGAAAGAUGGCCUCUGAAGAUGCUAUCGAUUAUGGAUGGACCCGCGUCUGAUUAGCUAGUUGGUGGGGUAAAGGCCUACCAAGGCGACGAUCAGUAGCCGGCCUGAGAGGGUGAACGGCCACACUGGGACUGAGACACGGCCCAGACUCCUACGGGAGGCAGCAGUGGGGAAUCUUCCGCAAUGGACGAAAGUCUGACGGAGCAACGCCGCGUGUAUGAUGAAGGUCUUCGGA
RNAcentral lists this ribosomal RNA (437 nucleotides) under uncultured bacterium. RNAcentral's name for it is "bacterial SSU rRNA". It matches the Rfam family "Bacterial small subunit ribosomal RNA", at positions 8 to 422 of the family's 1533-position model. The record is from RNAcentral.